CAGCCCUCCUGUGGGGCAGCAAAGAGGUUAAUGGAGAGUAUUAUACAUAUAGUGCAUGCAUGCGCGCGCGCACACACACACACACGUUUUGGUGACAAAAUCCCAGGAGGGGUGAUGACAGGAUGUGUGUGACUGCCCAGUCUCUCCACACCGGGCUCCCAGUUCAGAGGAAGGCAGCCAUUCCCCAGCCCUGCCACUGUCAGACCCUGUCCAGCACCCAGGGACAUUCCUCCUCCCUGCAGUGGGAUCCGAGUCUCCAGGUCCCCUGCCUGACAGCUGACACCUGUGCCCUGACUCAGUGCUGAGUAGCAAGGUGGAGGUGCAGUGGAGGCACCUGGGCUGGGGUGGGGCCUGGCAAAGGCCCGGGUCAGUGUAAGAGGAGUCUGGAGAAGGGAAGGUGAGAGCCCUUGAAUGCUGGCCUUGGGGAGGUUCCUGCCCAUCCUUAACCUCAUGGUUAAGGCAACUCUCGGCCCUGCCUCCUGGCCCUCCGGACCAGCAGACAGAGCCUGCUCCAGUGCUUGCCCCAGCUUAGAGCUGCUGGGCUGGACAGGGGUAGGGGCCUGAGGGCUGUGUGACACUGAGAACAUUCUGCAUUGCAUGUCGGCCACAGGAGCCACCAAGCACAACAGGGCAGGCAGGCUGAGGAACUGCCGGUGCUGCUCUGGGGGCCUGGCCCAUGGUCAGGCUGUGCCUUUGUCCUCACAGGUGGCCACACACUCCAGGGAGGCUGUGCAGGGUAAGCUCGGCUUGGUCUCCUCCUGAGGGCCCUCCUGCCCCCGUAAGCCUCGGCCUCCCUGCAGGGGCUGCUGUGCUGGCAGCCAGCUCAGCUUCCGGGACUCGAGGACACGCCUUGUGGCCCUUCCCACUCUCUUCACCACCAUUACAGGGAAAGUUUCUCUAGAAAAAACUCUGGGACCCACAGAAGUGUCUCCAGCUUCCAGCGUUCCCUAUGACCUGACACAGAAACAGCAGACAGAGCAGCCCCGUUCUGGAGGGGCGUGGUCUGGUACACACCUCAGUGCCUUAGGGUUUGAGCCACUUAGAAUUCUUUAUCCUCUGAAUCUCAGGGCUGGGGUGCUUAUCACCCUAGAACUUGAUGUUGUUGUUUUUAUGUUGUCGUUGUUGUUGUUUUUUGAGAUGGUAUUUUGCUCUUGUUGCCCAGGGUGGAGUGCAAUGGCACGAUCUCGACUCACUGCAACCUCUGCCCCCCAGGAGAAUUGCCUGAACCCAGGAGGUGGAGGUUGCAGUGUUUUACUCCAGCUUGGGUAACAACAGCAAAACUCUGUCUCAAAAAAAAAAAAAAAUUAAAUGGAUGGAUAUUUACAAAGUUUUUAGAACAAUGCCUGGUACUAUAUUAGCUACUAUUGUUAUGCAUUAGCUAUUAUUAUUAUUUUAUAGUUU
This 1401-nucleotide long non-coding RNA is filed under the name Callithrix jacchus (white-tufted-ear marmoset). RNAcentral describes it as "lncRNA (ENSCJAG00000074896.1)". The record is from RNAcentral. Lineage: Eukaryota; Metazoa; Chordata; Mammalia; Primates; Cebidae.